GAUGAACGCUGGCGGCGUGCCUAAUACAUGCAAGUCGAGCGAACAGACGAGGAGCUUGCUCCUCUGACGUUAGCGGCGGACGGGUGAGUAACACGUGGAUAACCUCCCUAUAAGACUGGGAUAACUUCGGGAAACCGGAGCUAAUACCGGAUAAUAUAUUGAACCGCAUGGUUCUAUAGUGAAAGACGGUUUUGCUGUCACUUAUAGAUGGAUCCGCGCCGCAUUAGCUAGUUGGUAAGGUAACGGCUUACCAAGGCAACGAUGCGUAGCCGACCUGAGAGGGGGGUCGGCCACACUGGAACUGAGACACGGUCCAGACUCCUACGGGAGGCAGCAGUAGGGAAUCUUCCGCAAUGGGCGAAAGCCUGACGGAGCGAAGCCGCGUGAGUGAUGAAGGUCUUCGGAUCGUAAAACUCUGUUAUUAGGGAAGAACAAAUGUGUAAGUAACGAUGCACGUCUGGACGGUACCUAAUCAGAAAGCCACGGCUAACUACGU
RNAcentral lists this ribosomal RNA (496 nucleotides) under uncultured bacterium. RNAcentral's name for it is "partial 16S ribosomal RNA". It matches the Rfam family "Bacterial small subunit ribosomal RNA", at positions 28 to 506 of the family's 1533-position model. The record is from RNAcentral.